This 435-nucleotide ribosomal RNA is filed under the name uncultured bacterium. RNAcentral's name for it is "bacterial SSU rRNA". It matches the Rfam family "Bacterial small subunit ribosomal RNA", at positions 29 to 506 of the family's 1533-position model. The record is from RNAcentral.
ACGAACGCUGGCGGUGUGCUUCACACAUGCAAGUCGAACGAGGUAGCAAUACCUAGUGGCGGACGGGUGAGUAACACGUGGGAAUCUGCCUUUAAGUGGGGGAUAACUGACCGAAAGGUUAGCUAAUACCCCAUACGUCGCAAGAUAAAAGUAGCAAUACGCUUGAAGAUGAGCCCGCGUCCGAUUAGCUAGUUGGUAAGGUAAAGGCUUACCAAGGCACCGAUCGGUAGCUGGUCUGAGAGGAUGAUCAGCCACAAUGGGACUGAGACACGGCCCAUACUCCUACGGGAGGCAGCAGUGGGGAAUUUUACACAAUGGGGGAAACCCUGAUGUAGCGACACCGCGUGAGCGAAGAAGCCCUUUGGGGUGUAAAGCUCUGUCAGCAGGGACGAAAAAAAUGACGGUACCUGCAGAGGAAGCAUCGGCUAACUACGU